This 1926-nucleotide long non-coding RNA is filed under the name Carassius auratus (goldfish). Its description in RNAcentral is "lncRNA (ENSCARG00000063542.1)". Lineage: Eukaryota; Metazoa; Chordata; Actinopteri; Cypriniformes; Cyprinidae. The record is from RNAcentral.
AUUAUUAUGAGGAGACUGGAGUCAAUAUAUGUAUAAGCUACAACGUAAAGGCUUUAAAAGGACUUAAAAACCAUGAAUUAUUCAAUUAUUCAUAAAUAUAUAAUUUGUACAAUUGUGGUCAGAAUUGUUGGUAUAUACUUUUUUUUUUCUUUUUUUUUUUCUUAAUGAAUAUACUUUAAUGACAUUUUAGUCAUACAAACUCCUAAGGGUACUAUUAUUUGUAGCCAACAUGUAUAAGAGAAAAAAACAUUUAUUUCGUAAUGAGCCCCCCAUUUUAAAUUAUUAUUCUUGAACGAAAGGUUAGAUUUUUUUAAAUAAAAUAUGGUUUAACAAUAAAGAAUUAUAUUCAGCAGCCUUUUUUUUUUUUAAUCAUGUUUGUCAAGGGUUCCAACAAUUCUCACCAUGACUGUAUGUGUAUUUCUUACAUCAGUCAAAAUAAAUGAAUACAUGAAUAAAACACUGCUAGAAUGAUGCCCUUGUUACAACUUCCCCAUGUGAGAACUGGCCCCAGUCUCCUUUAUGUAUUGCUGUCUCCAGGGCAUCAUUUUGGAGGACAUAGAGAAGACAUCCAUCUCAUACAAAAGGAUUUAACGAUCACAGCAGACUGUGCAUUCCCCUGAAUGCAGGUUUGGCAUAAUGUCACUCAAUGGUCUGCCACAAAAGGGCAUGUUUGAAGCCAGGGUCUCUGGAGAGAGAAAACCGCUCAUUUCCAACACAAUGGCUCUGCUUUCAGUCCCUGAAAUUUGGAUUCUUAUCUCUGCAUUGGCCCAAUGAAAGCACAACAGGAUAAUUUAAUUGGGGAGUUUAAUUAAAUGUCUGGGUCAAUUGCAUCAUGAGUUGAAUACUGACCAAAGGCCAGAGGGGACUAAUAAAUGCCAAUUUGCCUCAUAUUCCCUGUCUUUAGGUGCUACUAACUUCCUCCGGGGGCAGAGACAUGCUUUGAAUGCCUUCUAAAUCAGGAUUAAUGGAUUGUGACACUGGGGCAUUGGGCUGGCGAGUGAAAUUGUUACUGAUGAUUUUGUCACAAAGUAAAAAAUGGCCUUCAGAAGGAAAUUACCCAUGCUUGAGGGAGUUCCUCUUGCACAUCUGCAUUUCCUCCAAAUUGUUUCUAAAGAUGGGAUACCUGAGCACUUGUGAACAUUCACUUUACAUCCUGUGGUCCUGCUGAGGUGAGGACGCUGACCUCCAUUCUGCUGCUAAUCAGGUGCUGGUUAAAGAUUUGUUAAGGAGUGAGCUGUGAGGUUCAGGCAGUGAGCUAUCAGGGAGCUUCAAAGGAAACUGCUCACAUGUUCUCCAAAGUUAGUGGAAUGAUGGUUGAGCUGCAGCCUCAUGAAUUGCAAAAGCAAAGUACAAAACCCCUUCAGAAUCUUCUGAAUCUCUGCUUUGAAUUCACUUGGAGAAACACCCCACCAUCCCAUUUCAUUUUGAGAACAAUCAGUCGUGCUGUGCUCUGACACUGUGACUCGUUUAGCAUAGUUUUAAAGGCUUUUAAUGGCAAUUGUUUUUAAUUAAUGUUGUAAGUCAGUUCAACCCACUCUAAUAUAUCAAGCACCAGAAAUAUUACCCUCUGAUGCUGAUGAAUUAUCUCUUUCAUAAUGAAACCUGAGGAUUUUUUCCUCAUCUAGUCAUAGAAAAAGUUGCACUAAAAGUGUUUUACAUUACGGUUUGUAUGUCGUUCUCUCUCUCUCUCUGUACAUAUAUCUCUCUCUAUACACACACACACACACACACAUACACACGUUUGUUUUUGUUAAAAGUGGGGACAUCCCAUAGGCAUAAUGGUUUUUAUACUGUACAAACUGUAUAUUAUAUGGCCCUACACCAACCAUACACCUAACCCUAACCCUCACAGGAAACUUUGUGCAUUUUUUUCUUUCUAAAAAAAAAAAAAAAAAAAAAAAAAAACUCAUUCUGUUUGGUUUAUAA